This is a long non-coding RNA of Cydia splendana, 1789 nucleotides long. RefSeq lists it as uncharacterized. The record is from RefSeq and is a predicted model, not a curated record. NCBI's taxonomy places the organism in Eukaryota, Metazoa, Arthropoda, Insecta, Lepidoptera, Tortricidae. The transcript has 2 exons.
UUUUUUAUUGGCAAAAAAAUACUACCGGUUCGCAAAGUAACACCUCUGUCCUGAGAAGAACCGGCGUAAGAAACUCAGCGAGGUAUUAUUUAUUCUAAAAAAUUAAAUUAUUCAGACGUAUUACAAACAGUGUGUUCUUUUCUGAAUACAAUUAUACAAUCGUAUUUUUAUGUCAAAAUCAUUAGUCAAACCUUAUGUAAAAACAAAGGGCUAUACAUAUAUUACUAAUUUAAAUAUUUUUAGGAACGGCCCGCCCUCUUUCCCGCCAGUCAUAAAUGGCUCCACAUAAAUGCAACUAAGCAUUGAAGCCUAGGCAGUCCCUUUUAUUAUAUAUGUUGUUUUUUUAUAAAUUGGUCAAUUCCAUUGAAAAACUCAGCAAGGUGGUUAAUUUUACAAAAAAAAAUUCAGAUGUAUUACAAACAGUGUGUUCUUUUCUAAGUACGAUUAUACAAUGGUAUAUGUAAAAUAUUAUGUAAAAAUCAUUAGUCAAACCGUAUGUAAAAAAAAGAUUACUACUUUAAAUAUUUAUAGGAACGGCCCGCCCUCUCUCCCGCCAGUCAUAAAUGGCUCUACAUAAAUGCAACUAAGCAGUGAAGCUUAGGCAGUCCAUUCUUGUAUAUUUUGUUUUUUAUAAAUUGGUCAAUUCCAUUAAAAAACUCGGCGAGAUAUUAUUAUAAUUUAAAUACAAUAUUCAGAUGUAUUACAAACAGUGUGUUUUUUUCUAAGUAAGUACAAAUUAUACAAUCGUAUUUUAUGUGACAAAUUAAUUAGUUAAACCUUAUUUAAAAACAAAAGGCUAUUUGUUACCAAUUUAAAUAUUUUUAGGAACAGCCCACCCUCUGUCCCGCCAGUAAUUAAAUGGCUCCACAUAAAUGCAACUAAGCAGUUAAGCCUAGGCAUUCCCUUAAUGUAUUUUUUUGGAUAAAUUGUAAAAUAGGCGACAUUGAUACAACUGGAUUGCGAAGUGUUACAUAAUUAAACUUUGAUGAUGCAAGAAUAUACCUUAUAUGCAACUAAGCAAUGAAGCUUAGGCGGUCCCUUGUUUAAAUAGGGGAUAAAAAAUGACAUCAAUUUGACUAUGAAGUUAUACAUUAAUAAAUAAACAAAUAAUACAUAAUUAUUUUUUCACAAAUUGCGCUAGUCGCUUUCUAACUGUUUAAUGUAGAAUUUAGUGAAUAUAUGUAACUUGAUGAUAAUUAAAAUUGAAUUUCAAAAUUUGUUAACCUAACGAUGUUAAUGUAACUACGCUUGUAAAUAAAUAUAUAGGAAAAUACAAACAGAACGGAUUUUGCAAAAUUCUCCAUUGAAUACUACUAAGCAAUCGAAACAGGUGGUCCCCUAUUAUCAAAAUAACAAUAAUGUUAAAUGCAUAAAAUACAAGUUUUGUGGUAGAUUAUAUACCUCUUUCCUAAUAACAAAUAGUACGCAAUUUUUUUUUCAUAUAUAAUAAAAACAACAAUUUCAAAUUGAAUGUAAAUUACGAAAUGCCAUUACAUUGGUUAUUUUUAAUCGUCUCUAAUAUCUACCUGGACCAAAAAAACUAAGUCAAUCGAUACGUCGCUAGGUAUCCAGUGGUUAUCGAUCGAUGUCAAAUCGACUGGUCGACCAUACAAAAUUUAUCGAUCGACAUUUAUCGAUAAUCAAACGAUGUUAAUUGACGCUUCAACUAAAGUAUUUUUUUGGUUCGGUAAUUAAUACACUCUGCUAGCCGUUCUUUCCAAAUCGUUCUCACGUUCACUCGCAAAGUCAAGUUUAGUAACAUUUUCGUAUCUUUUCUUGCUAUUUUAGU